AAAACUUCUGUUCGUUNGGAGAAGAAUGGUCGGCAGAGUAACUGUUGUCGGCGUGACGCUAUCCAACCAGAAAGCCACGGCUAACUACGUGCCAGCAGCCGCGGUAAUACGUAGGUGGCAAGCGUUAUCCGGAUUUAUUGGGCGUAAAGCGAGCGCAGGCGGUUUUUUAAGUCUGAUGUGAAAGCCCUCGGCUUAACCGAGGAAGCGCAUCGGAAACUGGGAAACUUGAGUGCAGAAGAGGACAGUGGAACUCCAUGUGUAGCGGUGAAAUGCGUAGAUAUAUGGAAGAACACCAGUGGCGAAGGCGGCUGUCUGGUCUGUAACUGACGCUGAGGCUCGAAAGCAUGGGUAGCGAACAGGAUUAGAUACCCUGGUAGUC
This 379-nucleotide ribosomal RNA is filed under the name uncultured Lactobacillus sp. RNAcentral describes it as "bacterial SSU rRNA". It matches the Rfam family "Bacterial small subunit ribosomal RNA", at positions 426 to 795 of the family's 1533-position model. The record is from RNAcentral. Lineage: Bacteria; Bacillati; Bacillota; Bacilli; Lactobacillales; Lactobacillaceae.